CCGCAGGGUUGUGUGUCCUGCACAUUGCAGCACAGCAGCAGGGCUCUGCUUCUGCUUUCCUUCGACUGGCUCCUCCCACCACACUCAGGGCUGUAGCGUGGAUCAGCCCUGCAGCAGCAGCAGCAGCCUCAGCUUCUUUCUUCACCUCUCACUGGCGAUGUGUGCACUGUGCUGCCUCCCACACUGUCAGGGGUCAGCUCCCAUCCUUUAGUAGAAGAAGCAACAUACACAGGUGAUGUGAGGAAGUCUGUAGUGAAACCAGCUCAUUCAGGAUAUCCUUCGGAAGGCUUUAUACUCCAGAAAUGUUAGGUGUUCUGCCAGCUCCACAGGCUCCAGAUGGUCAAACAGAAGGCAAA
Molecule: long non-coding RNA, 356 nt
Organism: Pseudophryne corroboree (corroboree frog)
Lineage: Eukaryota; Metazoa; Chordata; Amphibia; Anura; Myobatrachidae
Exons: 3
Source: RefSeq, a predicted model, not a curated record